This 506-nucleotide ribosomal RNA is filed under the name uncultured bacterium. RNAcentral describes it as "partial 16S ribosomal RNA". It matches the Rfam family "Bacterial small subunit ribosomal RNA", at positions 30 to 523 of the family's 1533-position model. The record is from RNAcentral.
AUUGAACGCUGGCGGCAGGCCUAACACAUGCAAGUCGAACGGUAACAGAAAGCAGCUUGCUGCUUUGCUGACGAGUGGCGGACGGGUGAGUAAUGUCUGGGAAACUGCCUGAUGGAGGGGGAUAACUACUGGAAACGGUAGCUAAUACCGCAUAACGUCGCAAGACCAAAGAGGGGGACCUUCGGGCCUCUUGCCAUCGGAUGUGCCCAGAUGGGAUUAGCUAGUAGGUGGGGUAACGGCUCACCUAGGCGACGAUCCCUAGCUGGUCUGAGAGGAUGACCAGCCACACUGGAACUGAGACACGGUCCAGACUCCUACGGGAGGCAGCAGUGGGGAAUAUUGCACAAUGGGCGCAAGCCUGAUGCAGCCAUGCCGCGUGUAUGGAGAAGGCCUUCGGGUUGUAAAGUACUUUCAGCGAGGAGGAAGGUGUUGUGGUUAAUAACCACAGCAAUUGACGUUACUCGCAGAAGAAGCACCGGCUAACUCCGUGCCAGCAGCCGCAGUAA